This 470-nucleotide ribosomal RNA is filed under the name uncultured Bacillota bacterium. Its description in RNAcentral is "bacterial SSU rRNA". It matches the Rfam family "Bacterial small subunit ribosomal RNA", at positions 432 to 904 of the family's 1533-position model. Lineage: Bacteria; Bacillati; Bacillota. The record is from RNAcentral.
UCUGUUGUUUGGAAAGAAUUGUACUAAUAGGAAAUGAUUAGUGCUUGACGGUACCAUUCAAGAAAGCCACGGCUAACUACGUGCCAGCAGCCGCGGUAAUACGUAGGUGGCAAGCGUUAUCCGGAUUUAUUGGGCGUAAAGCGUCCGCAGCCGGUUUAUUAAGUAUAGAAUUAAAGCCUGAGGCUCAACCUCAGUUCGUUCUAUAAACUGAUAAGCUAGAGUGUGGUAGAGGCAAGUGGAAUUUCUAGUGUAGCGGUAGAAUGCGUAGAUAUUAGAAGGAACACCAGUGGCGAAGGCGACUUGCUGGGCCACCACUGACGGUCAGGGACGAAAGCGUGGGGAGCAAAUAGGAUUAGAUACCCUAGUAGUCCACGCCGUAAACGAUGAGUACUAAGUGUCGGUUUUCCGGUGCUGAAGUUAACACAUUAAGUACUCCGCCUGAGUAGUACGGUCGCAAGGCUGCAACUCAA